GUCGCUUGCCAGGUCUUUGCAUCUCAUUCACAAUUGGUCGAUUGAACGAAAUCUGAUGAUGGGUGAUCUGCUUUCGUUACUGUCCCUGGAUGAGUGGCAAUCUCGUCCAAACUUUGCACAAGCGAAAUCUGACAAUGAAUGCUGUGGGUUCGCAAAAGGAAUCGAGGUGGUGGCUGCACGUUCUCAUUUGUCCUUUGCCUUCUUGUCUUUCUCGUUUUGCUUCGACUGCUAGGCGAGCGCCUCUACAAAUCUGCGCAGAGGUCUUUCUGUACUGUUUGCCAUCG
Paramuricea clavata is the source of this 284-nucleotide non-coding RNA. NCBI's taxonomy places the organism in Eukaryota, Metazoa, Cnidaria, Anthozoa, Malacalcyonacea, Plexauridae. The record is from the annotation of a GenBank genome assembly.